UACGAAGGGGCUAGCGUUGUUCGGAUUUACUGGGCGUAAAGCGCACGUAGGCGGAUCGAUCAGUCAGGGGUGAAAUCCCAGAGCUCAACUCUGGAACUGCCUUUGAUACUGUCGAUCUGGAGUAUGGAAGAGGUGAGUGGAAUUCCGAGUGUAGAGGUGAAAUUCGUAGAUAUUCGGAGGAACACCAGUGGCGAAGGCGGCUCACUGGUCCAUUACUGACGCUGAGGUGCGAAAGCGUGGGGGAGCAAACAGG
This 253-nucleotide ribosomal RNA is filed under the name uncultured bacterium. Its description in RNAcentral is "partial 16S ribosomal RNA". It matches the Rfam family "Bacterial small subunit ribosomal RNA", at positions 524 to 776 of the family's 1533-position model. The record is from RNAcentral.